RNAcentral lists this ribosomal RNA (253 nucleotides) under uncultured bacterium. Its description in RNAcentral is "partial 16S ribosomal RNA". It matches the Rfam family "Bacterial small subunit ribosomal RNA", at positions 524 to 776 of the family's 1533-position model. The record is from RNAcentral.
UACGGAGGGGACUAGCGUUGUUCGGAAUUACUGGGCGUAAAGCGCGCGUAGGCGGAUUUGCAAGUCGGGGGUGAAAGCCCGAGGCUCAACCUCGGAACUGCCCUCGAUACUGCAAAUCUCGAGUCCGAGAGAGGUGAGUGGAAUUCCUAGUGUAGAGGUGAAAUUCGUAGAUAUUAGGAAGAACACCAGUGGCGAAGGCGGCUCACUGGCGCGGUACUGACGCUGAGGCGCGAAAGCGUGGGGAGCAAACAGG